RNAcentral lists this ribosomal RNA (454 nucleotides) under uncultured bacterium. RNAcentral describes it as "bacterial SSU rRNA". It matches the Rfam family "Bacterial small subunit ribosomal RNA", at positions 340 to 786 of the family's 1533-position model. The record is from RNAcentral.
UACGGGAGGCAGCAGUGGGGAAUAUUGCACAAUGGGCGCAAGCCUGAUGCAGCCAUGCCGCGUGUAUGAAGAAGGCCUUCGGGUUGUAAAGUACUUUCAGUCGUGAGGAAGGUGUUAAGGUUAAUAACCUUAGCAAUUGACGUUAGCGACAGAAGAAGCACCGGCUAACUCCGUGCCAGCAGCCGCGGUAAUACGGAGGGUGCGAGCGUUAAUCGGAAUUACUGGGCGUAAAGGGCACGCAGGCGGUUAAUUAAGUUGGAUGUGAAAUCCCCGGGCUUAACCUGGGAAUGGCAUUCAAGACUGGUUAGCUAGAGUCUUGUAGAGGGGGUAGAAUUCCAUGUGUAGCGGUGAAAUGCGUAGAGAUGUGGAGGAAUACCGGGUGGCGAAGGCGGCCCCUGGGACAAAGGCUGACGCUCAUGUGCGAAAGCGUGGGGAGCAAACAGGAUUAGAUACC